GCUCAACUUUGAAAUCUGGCAGCUUCGGCUGUCCGAGUUGUAGUCUCGAGAAGCGUUUUCCGUGCUGAAGCAUGCAUGAGUCUGUUGGAAUACAGCGCCAUAGAGGGUGAGAGCCCCGUCUGCGGCAUGCCUUUCAGUGCUUUGUGAUACGCUUUCGAUGAGUCGAGUUGUUUGGGAAUGCAGCUCAAAUUGGGUGGUAAAUUCCAUCUAAAGCUAAAUAUUGGCGGGAGACCGAUAGCAAACAAGUACCGUGAGGGAAAGAUGAAAAGCACUUUGGAAAGAGAGUUAAAAGUACGUGAAAUUGUCGAAAGGGAAACGAUUGAAGUCGGACGUGCAGGGCAACCUGCAGGCCAACAUCGGUUCGGUUAGUCGGAUAAAGGUAGAGGGAAGGUAGCAGUCUCGGCUGUGUUAUAGCCCUCUACUGAAUACGGAUAGCUGGACCGAGGACCGCAGCGCAAGCUUAGG
This 465-nucleotide ribosomal RNA is filed under the name Microsporomyces sp. RNAcentral's name for it is "partial large subunit ribosomal RNA". It matches the Rfam family "Eukaryotic large subunit ribosomal RNA", at positions 107 to 610 of the family's 3401-position model. The record is from RNAcentral. Lineage: Eukaryota; Fungi; Basidiomycota; Cystobasidiomycetes; Cystobasidiales; Microsporomycetaceae.